RNAcentral lists this transfer RNA (73 nucleotides) under Orybina plangonalis. RNAcentral's name for it is "tRNA-Cys". The record is from RNAcentral. Lineage: Eukaryota; Metazoa; Arthropoda; Insecta; Lepidoptera; Pyralidae.
AGCUUUAUAUUCAAAAAUGAUAUAAAAUUGCAAAUUUUAAGGAACAAUAAAAAUAAAAUAAUUGUUAAGGCUU